CACGUAGGGGGCGAGCGUUGUCCGGAUUUAUUGGGCGUAAAGAGCUCGUAGGCGGCUCGGUAAGUCAGGUGUGAAAACUCUAGGCUCAACCUAGAGACGCCACCUGAUACUGCUGUGGCUAGAGUCCGGUAGGGGAGCAUGGAAUUCCUGGUGUAGCGGUGAAAUGCGCAGAUAUCAGGAGAAACACCAGUGGCGAAGGCGGUGCUCUGGGCCGGAACUGACGCUGAGGAGCGAAAGCGUGGGGAGCAAACAGG
RNAcentral lists this ribosomal RNA (254 nucleotides) under uncultured bacterium. RNAcentral's name for it is "partial 16S ribosomal RNA". It matches the Rfam family "Bacterial small subunit ribosomal RNA", at positions 524 to 776 of the family's 1533-position model. The record is from RNAcentral.